Sphaerodactylus townsendi is the source of this 2046-nucleotide long non-coding RNA. RefSeq lists it as uncharacterized. The record is from RefSeq and is a predicted model, not a curated record. Lineage: Eukaryota; Metazoa; Chordata; Lepidosauria; Squamata; Sphaerodactylidae. The transcript has 5 exons.
GCUUCUCGCAAAAAGGCAGGCCGGAGCGCAACCAGCUCGGCUCGUUUUGUGAAACGCCUCGCUUCUCCACCGACCCCCCCUCCCUUCUCCACCCACCCCGAAGACUCCUCUGGCUUCUCCUUGCCCCACCAGCCUCGCUCUUUGGGUAGUAGCGCUUACAGGCCGGCCGAGUGACGGACUUGAAGGGCGGGGAGGCGGGCUGGGGUUUCAAACGACGCCCACCAGGGGCUCAGCGAGCCUCUUCCAGUGCGCAGACUCGGGGCAUCGGAUAAAAGCCGGGCUGGCAGCUCUCAGCCUGCCUUGAUGGAGCCGAGGCAGUUGAGUGGCGGAGCAAGGAGAUUCAAGCGCCAGCGUGGCCAAGCCUUAAGAAUACCUGCCCUCCCCCCCACACCCUCCUUCUCUUCCCCCCCCCCCUUCCCGUCACAACGAGUCUCGGCUGAGACACAAAGCCUGAAGGAAGGAAGGAGGCUGAGGUGAAAAAGAGGCUCGCUGUGCCUGACUGGAACCUAGACGAAGCGGCUGUAAAGGGGGCACUAAGGGAUUGUGUUCCUCGAGAUAUGGACUAUCGUAUUUGGACCAUCAUUUGUAUGGACUGCCUACCAGAUAGAUAGACCCAGCACAAGUGGAAGGUUGUAGGAGAAUAGAAAGCACUGGCUCCUUCCUGCCUAGCUUACCCCAGAAAUCUCUACCUUUUCUCUUGAGUGUGUAGGUGGUGUUUUUUUAUUUUGCUUUAAAUGAGCAAGUUCUCUAGAGCAACUGCAGUAGAUAGUACUAAUGAUCACAAGUAGGAGAGGGGAACACACAACACACCGUUGGUAACAAUAACUGUAUUUUAGUCAAGUGACUGUCUUGACCUACUAUAUGACAUCUCUUAACUUGUAACAAGUAUAAGCGGCUGGCUCCCAUGCAUGUACGACUUUGAUUAAGUUGCAGUCCGUGAUCUCCCGGCAAAUAAUCAGUGAAAACCAGCAGGUAAUAAAAACUUAGCCGGACUGAAGUGGAAUUUUUUAUAAAACAACAUAAGGCAAAACUCUGGGCAGCUGCUGAAGCCAAAAACAAGCUGUUCUUGCAGAGUUGGUUGCCUAUAGCAAAGAAACAAAGAAACAAGUGACAAGAUGGCCUCUUUGUGCAGACUUCCUUUUGUUGAGUGAAAAUACACAAAGUAUGCCUUCCAGACAUAGCAGGGUGAGAGAUUGCACGGAGAAAACAAGCAGCAGGUUGCCUUGAUUGUAUGAACCAAUUGCAAGACACAUGAAUGAAAGAAGUCCAUAUCUUCUAUGAUGAAUCUACAAUUAAGUUAAAGAAGUCAUGUGAGGGGAAUGCUAGCUUCACUCAACAACCAGAGACUGAUGGAUUCCUCAAACUGAACUGGGAACCAGAGGUAUUUGCAGCACCGAAGAAGUCUGGGAAUGUCUUUUGCCAGUUGAACCAGCCUGAGUUUUUCUUCCUCCUCUGUAGUUAAAACUUGUGGACAAGUUUUGUGGGUGUGGUCAAGGCUUUUUCAGCUCCCUGAAAAGGAUCCACUUUUGGAAUUUCACUGUAAAUUUCUAAAUUGUUGUUUAAGUUACAUGGGUUGUGUUUUUUUGUAUGCAUAUCUUGUUAGAAUCUGAGUUGGAGAGAAACAAACAAAUCAGGCAGACAGGUAGUCAUGGCAUCUCUAUGGUUGUGCCCACCCUCCAAAUCCAACCUUCCCAUGACCCUUGAAGCCGUCUCUUACUGAUGGUAACCAGACAAACAGGCAUGGACACUGGAGCCUGCAGUUAAGGAAUUACACAUCUCAUGUUUGUGAUUGUUUUCAAACAACACCACAGCAGACAUCUUUUUGGUGCACCACUAAUUUCAGCUGUCACUUAUGUGCAGAGGUACAUCUACCCAUAUCAAGAAUGUAAAUUCAAAAAAUUUAAGGACAGACCAUUAAAGCCUAUCAGACAAAAAACAAACAAAUAUUUAAAUAAAGUAUUUAUUUAGAAGAAGAGUGUGGAUUUACAUCCUACCUUUCUCUCCUGUAAGGAGACUCAAGGCAGCUUAAAAACUCUUUCCCCUUCU